CACACCCUUUCUCUUUCAUCCCAUACACACCUGUGCACCUGUGAGACAGAUGUUUUCUAGGGGGGGAAGGAACUUUAUUGGAACCUUCUUUUCUUGGAACCUCUGUCUACUUAAUCUAUAUAAACUCAAUUUAUUUUAAAAUGAAUGUAAUGGAUGUAACACAUCUAAUACUAAGUUUCAACAACGGAUCUCUUGGCUCUCGCAUCGAUGAAGAACGCAGCGAAAUGCGAUAAGUAAUGUGAAUUGCAGAAUUCAGUGAAUCAUCGAAUCUUUGAACGCACCUUGCGCUCCUUGGUAUUCCUUGGAGCAUGCCUGUUUGAGUAUCAUGAAAUCUUCAAAGUCAAACCUUUUGUUAACUCAAUUGGUUCUGCUUUGGUAUUGGAGGUCUAUUGCAGCUUCACACCUGCUCCUCUUUGUGCAUUAGCUGGAUCUCAGUGUUAUGCUUGGUUCCACUCAGCGUGAUAAGUUAUCUAUCGCUGAGGACACCCUGUUAAAAAGGGGUGGCCAAGGUAAAUGCAGAUGAACG
This 526-nucleotide small RNA is filed under the name Rhizoctonia solani. RNAcentral describes it as "eukaryotic LSU rRNA". The stretch from base 173 to 326 matches the Rfam family "5.8S ribosomal RNA". Lineage: Eukaryota; Fungi; Basidiomycota; Agaricomycetes; Cantharellales; Ceratobasidiaceae. The record is from RNAcentral.